RNAcentral lists this small nucleolar RNA (100 nucleotides) under Dipodomys ordii (Ord's kangaroo rat). Its description in RNAcentral is "Small nucleolar RNA SNORA27 (ENSDORG00000023810.1)". The record is from RNAcentral. Lineage: Eukaryota; Metazoa; Chordata; Mammalia; Rodentia; Heteromyidae.
CUACCCCCUUUCACUUUGCUAAUGGGACUUAUAUCUUCAUUGGUCAUUCAAGUAGGGCAAAGGAAAUUUCCUUUUUUUUGGUUGGUCAUGGGGUUUGAAC